RNAcentral lists this long non-coding RNA (1104 nucleotides) under Sparus aurata (gilthead seabream). Its description in RNAcentral is "lncRNA (ENSSAUG00010014588.1)". Lineage: Eukaryota; Metazoa; Chordata; Actinopteri; Spariformes; Sparidae. The record is from RNAcentral.
AUGCCAGUUUUAUCUAAUCGAGAACUGGAGUGCAGCAAAGGUCAUACUCAGUCUCUCCCCAGAGCAGGCCCUGGUACACAUGUGCAUGAAAAACCUCCACAACCAAAACCUUUGGUUCAACCAGGAGCACUGAAGACUGUUUCUAUGGGAAAGACAAAGCGUAGACUAGGAGCUGUCGGCACCCAGCCUGAUGCACAAAAGAAAAGGGAACCUUUGGAGGAGAAUAAAAACAAGAUCCAGAGCCACUUAAACCCCCUCAGUCAGACUCCUUUCUCAGACAUUCAGUCUCAGCUAACCAGCCUCACCGUCACCAUGACAGCUGAGAAGAAUGUGAAGGUUCAAGAGCCAACCCCUCCUCACACUGUUUCCACCAGACAGGGACCGCAGAGGGCUGUCCAUUAUCAAUCACUUUUCAAGACUGCUGAAAGACCAGACCUUCAGUCCCCACAUUAUGGUGCUCGAGAGUUGAAUCAGAGGACUGGAGACAGAUUAAUAAAGCCUCCGGGAACUGCUGCAGGUCUAAACCCACAAAGACGACAGUGGUACUGCUCACUAAACUUCAAACAAAAGAUGGACUUUGUGGCUGAUCAUCCCACAGUCCUGUCUCCUUCCACAUCACAGCAAAAACAAUCAAAGACAGGUGUCCUGUUCCCUUCAACCCACUUAAGAGGACACACAUCUGCUCUACAAACAGGAACCAGGGGGCAAGAUCAGCUGCUGAGGCCCCACCAACCUCUCCACCAGUCGCACCCAACCACAGAGGCUCCGACUGCACCAAAAGCCGUGAGCACUCAUCAUAAACCUCAGCUCCAGUCCGACUACAGGCUGUUCUCCCCAGCUACAGGAACCAAACUACAUCUACAGCCCCACACCUCCCAGCAGGUGACAUCCACUCCGAGGCUAAACUGGAGUCACGCUGCAAGACCCAGACCUGUGGCUCGCCACAGCUCCUUCGGCACCACCUACGGGAUGGGACAGCAGGUGGGCUGGAGGCCGUUUCACAGUGGCAUGAAUCUGCCAUUAGGAAGGAGCAAGAGCAUGACUGACAGACACUCAGGAGGCUUCAGAGGAGCAGGACUCAACACAAACACAACCAUCACCUGA